UGUUUGGAGCCUCAAAACGUUCUCUACCAGG
RNAcentral lists this non-coding RNA (31 nucleotides) under Mus musculus (house mouse). Lineage: Eukaryota; Metazoa; Chordata; Mammalia; Rodentia; Muridae. The record is from RNAcentral.